UCGAUGAAGAACGCAGCGAAAUGCGAUACGUAAUGUGAAUUGCAGAAUUCAGUGAAUCAUCGAAUCUUUGAACGCACAUUGCACUCUCUGGUAUUCCGGAGAGUAUGCUUGUUUGAGUAUCAGUAAACACCUCAAAUCUCGACAUUCGUGUUGAGAAUUGGACUUGAGCAAUCCCAACUCUUUGCAAAAAGAGGCGGGCUGCUUGAAAUGCAGGUGCAGCUGGACAUUCUUCUGAGCUAAAAGCAUAUUUAUUUAGUCCCGUCAAACGGAUUAUUACUUUUGCUCUAGCUAACAUAAAGGUUGAAUGUACUACGUGCUGACUGAUGCAGGAUUACCAAGUUUCCGUCAAAAGAAACUUGUAAACUCGAUCUCAAAUCAAGUAAGACUACCCGCUGAACUUAA
RNAcentral lists this ribosomal RNA (402 nucleotides) under uncultured Mortierella. RNAcentral's name for it is "eukaryotic LSU rRNA". The stretch from base 1 to 122 matches the Rfam family "5.8S ribosomal RNA", at positions 33 to 154 of the family's 154-position model. Lineage: Eukaryota; Fungi; Mortierellomycota; Mortierellomycetes; Mortierellales; Mortierellaceae. The record is from RNAcentral.